This 336-nucleotide ribosomal RNA is filed under the name uncultured bacterium. RNAcentral describes it as "partial 16S ribosomal RNA". It matches the Rfam family "Bacterial small subunit ribosomal RNA", at positions 338 to 666 of the family's 1533-position model. The record is from RNAcentral.
CCUACGGGAGGCAGCAGUGGGGAAUAUUGCGCAAUGGGCGAAAGCCUGACGCAGCGACGCCGCGUGAGGGAUGAAGGUCUUCGGAUCGUAAACCUCUGUCAGCAGGGAAGAACGAUCACUGUGCUAAUCAGCAGUGAAUUAACGGUACCUGCAAAGGAAGCACCGGCUAACUCCGUGCCAGCAGCCGCGGUAAUACGGAGGGUGCGAGCGUUAAUCGGAAUUACUGGGCGGAAAGCGCGCGUAGGUGGUAGGUCAAGUCAAGGGUGAAAUCCCCGCGUUAAAGGUGGGAACUGCCUUUGAAACUGGCAAACUGGAGUGUGUGAGAGGAUAGUGGAA